CCUACGGGAGGCAGCAGUGGGGAAUAUUGCACAAUGGGCGCAAGCCUGAUGCAGCCAUGCCGCGUGUGUGAAGAAGGCCUUCGGGUUGUAAAGCACUUUCAGCGAGGAGGAAGGUGGUGAGCUUAAUACGCUCAUCAAUUGACGUUACUCGCAGAAGAAGCACCGGCUAACUCCGUGCCAGCAGCCGCGGUAAU
This 194-nucleotide ribosomal RNA is filed under the name Serratia marcescens. Its description in RNAcentral is "partial 16S ribosomal RNA". It matches the Rfam family "Bacterial small subunit ribosomal RNA", at positions 338 to 524 of the family's 1533-position model. Lineage: Bacteria; Pseudomonadati; Pseudomonadota; Gammaproteobacteria; Enterobacterales; Yersiniaceae. The record is from RNAcentral.